UAACCCUAAUUUUAUCCUCAUUCUAAAAUGGCGCUGCUCCUCUCUCUCUCGCCUCCCUUGCCACUAACCAUUGCCGCCUCUCGCCGUUAACCUCCACCGGCUCCUGCGAAUCUUCUUGUCAAGGUAAGAUGUGGCUGUUUCUUCUCGCUUUGGUAUCUUUGUUGUUCGAUUCAUGAAUUUCGCACCAUCUGAUGAAGAUGCAGGCAAUGUAGGAGAAGAUGAAGAUAUAGAAGGAGAAAACGGAGGAUCUGCUGAAGGAGAAGGACGAGAUCUUGAUGAAGAAGGAAAAGGAACUCGAGACGAGGGAUGUUGAGUAGGAGAAGCUUAACGCGGAGCUGAAAAAACACUGCAGAAGAUGAAGGAAUUCAAGCCUCAUAUGGUGCAAAAUCUUCUGCAGCAAAUGGGUGCAAGUUACUAUCAGAUAAACGACCAGCUAGAUACAGCAUGCAAGUUACUAUCAGACUAAGACGGAUCCAUCAACAGGGACCUGCAGAUUUCCGAUUAUGAUAGAGCCUUAUUACGGUGGGGCUGUUCACGGACAAGUGUUCUUCAUGCCACUGCUGCUUGCCACAGCCAUCACCAUGCUGUCUAUUUUUUUAUGGUUUCUUGUCAAUUUGUAACUCUUAUGUGUGAUGGUGUUUUUACUUUUCUUGAAUUCUAGUUUCCCCUCCUUUAGAACAAGUGAACAUAGUGCAUUUUGAAGGAAUCAAAAUGACCCUAAAGAUGCAAGGCCCAUCUUUAUGUCGUUUCAAAUCUGGUAAUUAUGGUACUAACAUUCUGAAUAAGAAUUUUGUCUGAUGUUUAGCACA
Long non-coding RNA from Eutrema salsugineum, 809 nucleotides. RefSeq lists it as uncharacterized. The transcript is spliced from 3 exons. The record is from RefSeq and is a predicted model, not a curated record. Lineage: Eukaryota; Viridiplantae; Streptophyta; Magnoliopsida; Brassicales; Brassicaceae.